Neopelma chrysocephalum (saffron-crested tyrant-manakin) is the source of this 1311-nucleotide RNA transcript. It is a transcript of the gene named coiled-coil domain containing 172, with no coding region annotated. The transcript is spliced from 10 exons. The record is from RefSeq and is a predicted model, not a curated record. Lineage: Eukaryota; Metazoa; Chordata; Aves; Passeriformes; Pipridae.
AGCCAGUCACCCACAUCUCACUCUGCCCGAGGUUCCCUCUCAGUCCCCUGCUUUCUGCAGCCCUCACCUCCCCUUGUGUCCCCUCUUCCCCCUCAGCCAUGUCCCGUCUGCCCUGGUCGCUCCCUGCUGUUCCCAGCCCCGGGGCGGCAGAGGCCGAGGGCAGAGCCCUGAGGGCAGGGCUGUGGCCAGACCCAGCCUCCCCUUCCUGCGGGCACCGCGGCUCUCCCCAGCCAGCCCUCAAAAAGGCAGCACGGCUGCACGGGCUCCACGAGAAGACAGAAAUGAACCUGGAUGCUUUGUUCCAGCAAAUACAGUUCACAGAGAAGCAGGCGAGGGAGAAGAGGCACUUCAUCCAGCAAGCUAAAUGUGACAUAAACAGAAGCCAUGAAAAAAUUAACCAAAUAAAAGAAGAGCUGAGCGCUGCAAAAGUUAACUUAGAAACUAAGGUUCAGCAUCUGUCUGAAAAGCAGUUCUACUUAGAAAUUCUGAAGAAACGUGAAGAUAGCUUAGAAAAACAGAAAGCUGAACUUAUUAAUCAAAAAAGCAGUCUUCUUAAAGUGUUGACAGAUGCAAAGAGAAAAAUUGCUGAAGAGGAAGAUAAUUUUACCAGAGAAGUAACAGAGUUUAACAAUGAAUAUGGACUAACAAGUAAUAGAGAUCUUCUGAUUAAAAAAAAAGUCAAGACUGAAAUAAAGGAUUUAGAGAAUGAGGCAGCACUGCUGAAAAAUGAAAUGGAGUCAAUGGAACACAAAAAUGUUCAGUUAAAUGCACUCCAGCUGCAGAAGAAUGAGUUAAAGCAGGAUUUAUUUACUCUCCAAAGUGAACUCAAAGACCUUGAGAAAGUAAUCAGGGAGGCUGAAAGAAUGACAAAAGAUUUAGAAGCAGAAAAAGUCCAAGUAACUGAAAAACCUCAGACUGAUCCUGAAUGUUUAAGACUUAAGAAAGAAUUGGAAAAAUGCAAAGAUGAUAGUUGGGAAAGUGUCUGUGAGACUCUUCAAGCAGAAAUUGAAAUUCUGCAAAUGAAUUUGUCACAAAAGAAGUCUUCAGGCAAGUGAAUAAUAUGUGACAUGUGAUAUGGAGUGUCACAGAAGCAAGUCUGAGUGGAGAGUGAACCAACUGCCUUAAGACAGUCAUCUUCAGUUUGAUAAUGGUUUGUGACACAAGAAAGGAUUUUCCCACUGACUGAGCUGAAGUUAAGAGAGAGGGGCCUGUCCUGAAGCUUAUGAAGCUGUCGGAGAAGAAAGAAGAGACAGGAGUGGAACUUCGAGGCAAGAGCCGAGAAGAAGAAGAGCAGCGGCGUCGAGCUCAAGA